GGGGAAUUUUGGACAAUGGGCGCAAGCCUGAUCCAGCAAUGCCGCGUGUGUGAUGAAGGCCUUCGGGUUGUAAAGCACUUUUGGCGGGAACGAAAAGGACUGUGCCAAUACCACGGUUCGAUGACGGUACCCGCAGAAUAAGCACCGGCUAACUACGUGCCAGCAGCCGCGGUAAUACGUAGGGUGCGAGCGUUAAUCGGAAUUACUGGGCGUAAAGAGUGCGCAGGCGGUUUUGCAAGACCGAUGUGAAAUCCCCGGGCUUAACCUGGGAACUGCAUUGGUGACUGCAAGGCUAGAGUGUGUCAGAGGGAGGUGGAACUCCGCAUGUAGCAGUGAAAUGCGUAGAUAUGCGGAAGAACACCGAUGGCGAAGGCAGCCUCCUGGGAUAACACUGACGCUCAUGCACGAAAGCGUGGGGAGCAAACAGGAUUAGAUACCCUGGUAGUCCACGCCCUAAACGAUGUCUACUAGUUGUCGGGGAUUAAUUUCCUUGGUAACGCAGCUAACGCGUGAAGUAGACCGCCUGGGGAGUACGGUCGCAAGAUUA
RNAcentral lists this ribosomal RNA (547 nucleotides) under uncultured bacterium. RNAcentral's name for it is "bacterial SSU rRNA". It matches the Rfam family "Bacterial small subunit ribosomal RNA", at positions 356 to 896 of the family's 1533-position model. The record is from RNAcentral.